RNAcentral lists this ribosomal RNA (483 nucleotides) under uncultured bacterium. RNAcentral describes it as "partial 16S ribosomal RNA". It matches the Rfam family "Bacterial small subunit ribosomal RNA", at positions 30 to 507 of the family's 1533-position model. The record is from RNAcentral.
AUUGAACGCUGGCGGCAGGCCUAACACAUGCAAGUCGAACGGAAGCACGGGGCUUGCUUCUGGAUUCAGGGGGGGAGGGGUGGGUAUGCCUUGGAAACUUCCCGGUCGUGGGUGAUAACGUGGCGAAAGUGGCGCUAAUACCGCAUACGCCCUGAGGGGGAAAGGGGGGGACCUUCGGGACCUCCGCCAUUCGCGCGGCCGAGGUCGGAUUAGUUAGUUGGUGGGGUAAAGGCCUACCAAGGCGACGAUCCGUAGCUGGUCUGAGAGGACGAUCAGUCACACUGGAACUGAGACACGGUCCAGACUCCUACGGGAGGCAGCAGUGGGGAAUAUUGGACAAUGGGCGAAAGCCUGAUCCAGCCAUGCCGCGUGUGUGAAGAAGGUCUUCGGAUUGUAAAGCACUUUUGGUUGGGAGGAAGAGCAGUAAGUUAAUACCUUGCUGUUUUGACGUUACCAAAAGAAUAAGCACCGGCUAACUUCGUG